AGUUGAUGAGCUUGAAUAAGCAUAUGUUUUGAAAACAUAAGAUAGAAAUAGAAAUUUCUAUCGACUU
Molecule: transfer RNA, 67 nt
Filed under: Dixella sp. ZK-2014
Lineage: Eukaryota; Metazoa; Arthropoda; Insecta; Diptera; Dixidae
Description: tRNA-Ser
Source: RNAcentral